ACCUUAUUCAAGGUGCUAGUAUCUGUUAAGCUCUACAUAGCAUAGGACCUUGUUAUACAUACGACCACCUGCUCCUGAAGGUGAUGAAAGGUUCAAAAGCACAUCAGUUUCACUAUUGACAAAAUGAAAUCAUUCAGCACAGAGCCUUGGUGUUUAUCUGACAGCAUCAUUUAAAGAAUGAGUAUUGAAUUUCAUCACUGCAGCCUUCAAUUGUUUUUAUUGUACAAAUAUUACCAAACCAUUAUUAAAUAAAUCUAUGAGCCUAAA
Non-coding RNA from Pantherophis guttatus, 267 nucleotides. Lineage: Eukaryota; Metazoa; Chordata; Lepidosauria; Squamata; Colubridae. The record is from RefSeq and is a predicted model, not a curated record.